UACGAAGGGGGCGAGCGUUGUUCGGAUUUACUGGGCGUAAAGGGCGCGCAGGCGGCGCAUUUUGUCAGGCGUGAAAGCCCCGGGCUUAACCUGGGAACUGCGUUUGAUACGGAUGGGCUAGAGUUCGGGAGAGGAGAGUGGAAUUCCCAGUGUAGAGGUGGAAUGCGUAGAGAUCCGGAAGAACACCGGUGGCGAAGGCGGCCCGCUGGGCAGAGACUGACGCUGAGGCGCGACAGCGUGGGGAGCAAACAGG
RNAcentral lists this ribosomal RNA (253 nucleotides) under uncultured bacterium. RNAcentral describes it as "partial 16S ribosomal RNA". It matches the Rfam family "Bacterial small subunit ribosomal RNA", at positions 524 to 776 of the family's 1533-position model. The record is from RNAcentral.